Molecule: ribosomal RNA, 490 nt
Filed under: uncultured bacterium
Lineage: Bacteria
Description: partial 16S ribosomal RNA
Rfam family: Bacterial small subunit ribosomal RNA
Source: RNAcentral
AUUGAACGCUGGCGGCAGGCCUAACACAUGCAAGUCGAACGGUAACAGGAAACAGCUUGCUGUUUCGCUGACGAGUGGCGGACGGGUGAGUAAUGUCUGGGAAACUGCCUGAUGGAGGGGGAUAACUACUGGAAACUGUAGCUAAUACCGCAUAACGUCGCAAGACCAAAGAGGGGGACCUUCGGGCCUCUUGCCAUCGGAUGUGCCCAGAUGGGAUUAGCUAGUAGGUGGGGUAACGGCUCACCUAGGCGACGAUCCCUAGCUGGUCUGAGAGGAUGACCAGCCACACUGGAACUGAGACACGGUCCAGACUCCUACGGGAGGCAGCAGUGGGGAAUAUUGCACAAUGGGCGCAAGCCUGAUGCAGCCAUGCCGCGUGUAUGAAGAAGGCCUUCGGGUUGUAAAGUACUUUCAGCGGGGAGGAAGGGAGUAAAGUUAAUACCUUUGCUCAUUGACGUUACCCGCAGAAGAAGCACCGGCUAACUCCGUG